CCUACGGGAGGCAGCAGUGGGUAAUAUUGGACAAUGGGCGAAAGCCUGAUCCAGCCAUGCCGCGUGUGUGAAGAAGGCCUUCGGGUUGUAAAGCACUUUCAGUGGGGAAGAAAGCCUUGGGGCUAAUACCCUCGAGGAAGGACAUCACCCACAGAAGAAGCACCGGCUAACUCCGUGCCAGCAGCCGCGGUAAUACGGAGGGUGCGAGCGUUAAUCGGAAUUACUGGGCGUAAAGCGCGCGUAGGCGGUCUGAUAAGCCGGUUGUGAAAGCCCCGGGCUCAACCUGGGAACGGCAUCCGGAACUGUCAGGCUAGAGUGCAGGAGAGGAAGGUAGAAUUCCCGGUGUAGCGGUGAAAUGCGUAGAGAUCGGGAGGAAUACCAGUGGCGAAGGCGGCCUUCUGGACUGACACUGACGCUGAGGUGCGAAAGCGUGGGUAGCAAACAGGAUUAGAUACCCUGGUAGUC
This 465-nucleotide ribosomal RNA is filed under the name Vreelandella stevensii. RNAcentral describes it as "partial 16S ribosomal RNA". It matches the Rfam family "Bacterial small subunit ribosomal RNA", at positions 338 to 795 of the family's 1533-position model. Lineage: Bacteria; Pseudomonadati; Pseudomonadota; Gammaproteobacteria; Oceanospirillales; Halomonadaceae. The record is from RNAcentral.